GACGUAGGGCGCGAGCGUUGUCCGGAUUUAUUGGGCGUAAAGAGCUCGUAGGCGGUCUGUCGCGUCGGUCGUGAAAACUUGGGGCUUAACCCUGAGCUUGCGGUCGAUACGGGCAUGACUGGAGUUCGGUAGGGGAGACUGGAAUUCCUGGUGUAGCGGUGAAAUGCGCAGAUAUCAGGAGGAACACCGGUGGCGAAGGCGGGUCUCUGGGCCGAUACUGACGCUGAGGAGCGAAAGCGUGGGGAGCGAACAGG
This 254-nucleotide ribosomal RNA is filed under the name uncultured bacterium. RNAcentral describes it as "partial 16S ribosomal RNA". It matches the Rfam family "Bacterial small subunit ribosomal RNA", at positions 524 to 776 of the family's 1533-position model. The record is from RNAcentral.